ACUCCUACGGGAGGCAGCAGUCGAGGAUCUUCGGCAAUGGGCGCAAGCCUGACCGGGCGACGCCGCGUGUGCGAUGAAGGCCUUCGGGUUGUAAAGCACUGUCGAGGGGGAGGAAAGCCGCAAGGUCUGACCUAUCCCUGGAGGAAGCACGGGCUAAGUUCGUGCCAGCAGCCGCGGUAAU
This 181-nucleotide ribosomal RNA is filed under the name uncultured bacterium. RNAcentral describes it as "partial 16S ribosomal RNA". It matches the Rfam family "Bacterial small subunit ribosomal RNA", at positions 335 to 524 of the family's 1533-position model. The record is from RNAcentral.